Esox lucius (northern pike) is the source of this 3169-nucleotide long non-coding RNA. The record is from Ensembl. Lineage: Eukaryota; Metazoa; Chordata; Actinopteri; Esociformes; Esocidae.
CAGACAGAGACUGACAGACAGACAGAGACAGACAGACAGACAGACAGGCAGUCUCUGUUUCUCUCUACCAUGUGUCCUGGAUUGCCUGAAGUGGUGUCAUCUCUCUCUCCGUUCUCCAUGUCUCUGACCUGCAGUUGAUCCACCUCUCUUACUUCAAUCACUCCUUCCACCGACCUGAGAGGCGGAGAAAGAGGGAGGGUUUAAAGAGGGGUAGAGAGAGAGAGAGGGUUUAAAGAGGGUAGAGAGACGUAGGGUUUAAAGAGGGUAGAGAGGUAGGGUUUAAAGGGGGGUAGAGAGAGAGGUUUUAAAGAGGGUAGAGAGACGUAGGGUUUAAAGAGGGUAGAGAGGUAGGGUUUAAAGAGGGGUAGAGAGACGUAGGGUUUAAAGAGGGGUAGAGAGACGUAGGGUUUAAAGAGGGUAGAAAGAGAGAGGGUUUAAAGAGGGUAGAGAGAUGUAGGGUUUAAAGAGGGUAGAGAGAGAGAGGGUUUAAAGAGGGUAGAGAGGUAGGGUUUAAAGGAGGGUAGAGAGAGAGGGUUUAAAGAGGGUAGAGAGAGAGAGGGUUUAAAGAGGGUAGAGAGGUAGGAUUUAAAGAGGGUAGAGAGAGGGUUUAAAGAGGGUAGAGAGACGUAGAGUUUAAAGAGGGUAGAGAGGUAGGGUUUAAAGAGGGUAGAGAGACGUAGGGUUUAAAGAGGGUAGAGAGACGUAGGGUUUAAAGAGGGUAGAGAGAGAGAGGGUUUAAAGAGGGUAGAGAGACAUAGGGUUUAAAGAGGGUAGAGAGGUAGGGUUUAAAGGGGGGUAGAGAGAGAGGGUUUAAAGAGGGUAGAGAGACGUAGGGUUUAAAGAGGGUAGAGAGACGUAGGGUUUAAAAAGGGGUAGAGAGACGUAGGGUUUAAAGAGGGUAGAGAGAGAGAGGUUUUAAGAGGGUAGAGAGACGUAGGGUUUAAAGAGGGUAGAGAGAGAGGGUUUAAAGAGGGUAGAGAGACGUAGGGUUUAAAGAGGGUAGAGAGACGUAGGGUUUAAAGAGGGGUAGAGAGACGUAGGGUUUAAAGAGGGUAGAGAGACGUAGUGUUUAAAGAGGGUAGAGAGGUAGGGUUUAAAGAGGGGUAGAGAGAGAGAGGGUUUAAAGAGGGGGUAAAGAGACGUAGGGUUUAAAGAGGGUAGAGAGAUGUAGGGUUUAAAGAGGGGUAGAGAGACGUAGGGUUUAAAGAGGGUAGAGAGACAGAGGGUUUAAAGAGGGUAGAGAGACGUAGGGUUUAAAGAGGGUAGAGAGAUGUAGGGUUUAAAGGGGGGUAGAGAGACGUAGGGUUUAAAGAGGGUAGAGAGUGACCACUCUGAAAAAGUACAUAACAUCAAUAGCAAUACUUUGCUGUGACACAAGGUUUUCUAUUGCUUCUAACUCUAUUUCACAUUUCGGGAAUAAAAGCAUAAAACAAUUGUUUAUAGAACAGGAUCCUCCUUUUCAAGUUAAUUAUUUGUCUGUUUCAUUCAUUGUGGUUCUGUAUUCUCCUAUCCAACACAGGUGAAAUCCAGAAGGCUAACAUUUAUAAAACUGGGCCUAGAAGACCCAGUAUUACCUGUGAAGCAAUGCAUGUCUCUGACAGACCCUGGGAUCGAACCUGUCUAUAGACUCCCACGCUAGAACGUUCCGCUGAAAGUUAAAACAUGUUGACAGCGCUCUUGUCAACCUCUCUGGAUGGGGAAAUGAAAGAGGAACAGUUUGGCUCAUAGGCAUGAACAUAUACUGGGCUGAGAUUGUCCCCUCCCACUUCCCUGUAAAGACCCAUCUCUAGUAGCCAUAGUGACCCUGAGUUAGGUAUAGGAGUUCUAGCCAAGAGGAAACAGGAAUGCAGAACAUAAACUGUGUCAGGUCAGGUUAACUAAGUCAGGCUUAAGGUUAAUGUUAAUUCAAAUUGAAAUUAGUCAGACUUAAAGGUGUGUGUUGAAAUCGAGGGAGAGUUGGGUCUCCUUAGUCUUGAGGAGAUCUCUUUUAGAGUAGGAGGUGUAGCCUAGAAAACCCCUCUAAAAAGACAGGUGGAAAUAAGGGUGGGGGGGGGCUAGAGAGGAGGAGGUCAGGGUCCCAGGAAGGGAGAGAAAGGGGGAGGGAAGAGAGGAGGAGGUCAGGGUCCCAGGAAGGGACAGAGAGGGGGAGGGAGGAGAGGAGGAGGUCAGGGUCCCAGGAAGAAACAGAGAGGGGGAGGGAGGAGAGGAGGAGGUCAGGGUCCCAGGAAGGGAGAGAGAGGGAAGAGAGGAGGAGGUCAGGGUCCCAGGAAGGGAGAGAGAGGGAAGAGAGGAGGAGGUCAGGGUCCCAGGAAGGGAGAGAGAGGGAAGAGAGGAGGAGGUCAGGGUCCCAGGAUGAGACAGAGAGGGACAUUUAAUUUCACUAAAACAUUUGUCAACAUUCUCAUCUUAGUAAAUGAACAUCGCUCUUACAUAAAGAGCUUACAGUUUUCCACAACAAUAUCACCACUACAAUCACCUUCAUUACAAUCUCUUAACAGUAAAACCUCCUUUGGUCAACACUGUACUGGUAUAAAGUAGUGUACUAUAUAGGGAAUAGGGUGUCAUCUCUCCAUAGGGUCCUGGUCUAAAGUAGUGUACUAUAUAGGGAAUAGGGUGUCAUCUCUCCAUAGGGUCCUGGUCUAAAGUAGUGUACUAUAUAGGGAAUAGGGUGUCAUCUCUCCAUAGGGUCCUGGUAUAAAGUAGUGUACUAUAUAGGGAAUAGGGUGUCAUCUCUCCAUAGGGUCCUGGUCUAAAGUAGUGUACUAUAUAGGGAAUAGGGUGUCAUCUCUCCAUAGGGGCCUGGUAUAAAGUAGUGUACUAUAUAGGGAAUAGAGUGUCAUCUCUCCAUAGGGUCCUGGUAUAAAGUAGUGUACUAUAUAGGGAAUAGGGUGUCAUCUCUCCAUAUAGUCCUGGUAUAAAGUAGUGUACUAUAUAGGGAAUAGGGUGUUAUCUGUUGGUUGACAUUAACUUAAUAGAAUCUAGCAGAAACCAUCAUGUUGUUAGGUCGUCAUGUUCUGACCGUCAUGUUGUUAGGUCGUCAUGUUCUGACCGUCAUGUUGUUAGGUCGUCAUGUUCUGACCGUCAUGUUGUUAGGUCAUCAUGUUCUGACCGUCAUGUUGUUAGGUCAUCAUGUUCUGACCGUCAUGUUGUUAUGUCGUCAUGUUCUGAC